RNAcentral lists this ribosomal RNA (637 nucleotides) under uncultured bacterium. RNAcentral describes it as "bacterial SSU rRNA". It matches the Rfam family "Bacterial small subunit ribosomal RNA", at positions 202 to 842 of the family's 1533-position model. The record is from RNAcentral.
UAAAGAUUCAUCGCUGAUAGAUAGGCAUGCGUUCCAUUAGGCAGUUGGCGGGGUAACGGCCCACCAAACCGACGAUGGAUAGGGGUUCUGAGAGGAAGGUCCCCCACAUUGGUACUGAGACACGGACCAAACUCCUACGGGAGGCAGCAGUGAGGAAUAUUGGUCAAUGGGCGUAAGCCUGAACCAGCCAAGUCGCGUGAGGGAUGAAGGUUCUAUGGAUCGUAAACCUCUUUUAUAAGGGAAUAAAGUGCGGGACGUGUCCCGUUUUGUAUGUACCUUAUGAAUAAGGAUCGGCUAACUCCGUGCCAGCAGCCGCGGCAAUACGGAGGAUCCGAGCGUUAUCCGGAUUUAUUGGGUUUAAAGGGUGCGUAGGCGGCCUUUUAAGUCAGCGGUGAAAGUCUGUGGCUCAAUCAUAGAAUUGCCGUUGAAACUGGGAGGCUUGAGUAUGUUUGAGGCAGGCGGAAUGCGUGGUGUAGCGGUGAAAUGCUUAGAUAUCACGCAGAACCCCGAUUGCGAAGGCAGCCUGCCAAGCCAUGACUGACGCUGAUGCACGAAAGCGUGGGGAUCAAACAGGAUUAGAUACCCUGGUAGUCCACGCAGUAAACGAUGAUCACUAGCUGUUUGCGAUACAGUGUAA